Molecule: ribosomal RNA, 169 nt
Filed under: uncultured bacterium
Lineage: Bacteria
Description: partial 16S ribosomal RNA
Source: RNAcentral
AUUACCGCGGCUGCUGGCACGAAGUUAGCCGGGGCUUCUUCUCCGAAUACCGUCAUUAGCUUAUCCGAUGAAAGACCUUUACUUCCUCCUCGCCGACAUCGCUCUACCACCAUGAGGGGAUCAUGCUUGCGCCCAUUGUCCAGCAUUCCCCAUGGCUGCCUCGCGCAAG